Bombus impatiens (common eastern bumble bee) is the source of this 1296-nucleotide long non-coding RNA. RefSeq lists it as uncharacterized. Lineage: Eukaryota; Metazoa; Arthropoda; Insecta; Hymenoptera; Apidae. The record is from RefSeq and is a predicted model, not a curated record. The transcript has 3 exons.
CGUUUCCGAGUGCACCUACGAGAAUUGAACCACGCCUAUCCCCCUACUCUUGUUCGCGCGACCGGCCACCUCGUGCUGUUUUUACCGGCAAGGUAACCGAUGACGAGACAGAGAAAGAGAAUCGUGGUGGAUUCGCUCGGCGGAAGAGAAGAACGAGACAGAGAGGGAAGUCUCUUUUACUGGUUUCUCUACUCGGGCCUGCCCACGCGCCGAGGAUGCGUGCUUGCGCGCGCAAAAGCUCGUUGAUAAGGAACACGUUGCGUUGGAUGCUGAGAAUCCUAAGACUCGACGGGGAUCGAUGCCUUCCAGACGAUUUGCUCGUUCUUCUUUCCUUCUUCUUGCUGCGACGACUUUGGCGAAAACCUGAACGCAUACAUUGAACUUUCUUGACGGCGUGAAACGAACGUUCUUGUGGCGGUACGAGCAUAGACACGUGAGGAUUCGUGUGGUAUCCUGCCGAAAAAGUGUGUAACUCGAUCCGGCAAAAAGAGCUGUCGUCGACUAUCCAUUGCCUCAUAAACCGAGACCAAACGAUAUCUCGCGAUUGAUCGCGACGUCUUCAGUAUCCAAACGAUGCGCAUCCUGUAAUAUUGUCUGAAAGAAAGAUACAACAAGGACCACAGGCAUGGAGAAGCGGUACGACGGUUUAAGGUGUACGAAAGCAAGAUGAAAAUCACGAGAGGCCGGUACAAAUGUGUGCACGCAUGUAUGCAUACGUAAAAUGUACGUUCGUAAAGCACAGUGGUUUAUGAAUACACGAAUUUACUGCUUAAUCAACCGAGGCGCUGAGGCAGCGCAAUUAAAACGCCAUUAAGCGGCCACAUAAAAAUUCUCGGUAAAAUUCGGUGAUAUCGGGUUACUGAAUUCCUCCUUCCAGGCUUCGGGGUUACGAUCUAUAGGAUGCACGGGUUUAUAGUCACCUGGAUCGUGUUAUAGUCAGCCGAGAAUUCUCGAAAUUGUAUAUGGGACACUUUCAGGUCCUCUCGUUUGGUUUCCUUGUUUGAAAUUUUCCUUGAUACACGCGACAGAAAUUUAUUAUUCUGUUAUUUAGUUACAUCAAUUAAAUCGGUUAAUUAAUUGUAUUAUACGUACGUAUGCAUAAUUUCUUACAACUGUACAUUUAGAUUAACGUAAGCAACUUUCUUGCUUCUACCACAAGCUGUCCCUAAACGUGUAAAUUGCAGUCUCGCAGGGAAAAAAAAAAGAAACGCGUAUAAGAACAGGUCGUAAUGUUUGAUUUUGCGAUUACGUAUUCUACAUAUAUUAAAGAAUAAUUGAAAUUUUAUUCCUUGCAGA